Molecule: long non-coding RNA, 322 nt
Organism: Rhododendron vialii
Lineage: Eukaryota; Viridiplantae; Streptophyta; Magnoliopsida; Ericales; Ericaceae
Exons: 3
Source: RefSeq, a predicted model, not a curated record
CUCUAGAAACACCCUCUCUCACCUACCCAACUCCAAUCUCACCAAUAACUCUUGAUUUCAACGUUAAAUCAUCAAGAUCCAAGGGUUUCCAACCUCAAAAUCACUUGAAUCUUGCAUUUGAAGAUCAAGGGAUCUUGUAUCUAAGCUUGGGUGGAGCUCGUUUUUGGAGGAUUCAAGCAAAUAUCUCUCGGUAGACCUAGGGUUUUGCUCAAAACCCACUUUGGUUCGAAUGCCAGUCAAUAGCGUGUCUACAUCGAGUGUUGAGAUGUGAAGACUUUUAUUCUGGAAGCUAACUACAUUUUAGUUACUCAUUCAUCUUUGU